GGCGAUGAAGUGAAGGGUUGUGCUAGAAAGCAGCGCUUCACAGAGCUCUAUGACGGUUUGACGUUUACCAAGAUCUAGCUUAGGUUUUGAACUGAAAGAAAACGUU
RNAcentral lists this small RNA (106 nucleotides) under human gut metagenome. Its description in RNAcentral is "drum RNA". It matches the Rfam family "drum RNA". Rfam says of the family: Firmicutes, Bacteroidetes (1 example), Proteobacteria (2 examples), Spirochaetes (2 examples). The record is from RNAcentral.